Molecule: transfer RNA, 73 nt
Filed under: Cricetulus griseus (Chinese hamster)
Lineage: Eukaryota; Metazoa; Chordata; Mammalia; Rodentia; Cricetidae
Rfam family: tRNA
About the family: Transfer RNA (tRNA) molecules are approximately 80 nucleotides in length. Their secondary structure includes four short double-helical elements and three loops (D, anti-codon, and T loops).
Source: Rfam by way of RNAcentral
GGGGAUAUAGCUCAGUUGGUAGAGUGUUUGCCUUGUAAGCAUCAGACACUGGGCUCCAUCCCCAGAACCGCCA